This 387-nucleotide ribosomal RNA is filed under the name uncultured bacterium. RNAcentral's name for it is "bacterial SSU rRNA". It matches the Rfam family "Bacterial small subunit ribosomal RNA", at positions 28 to 417 of the family's 1533-position model. The record is from RNAcentral.
GACGAACGCUGGCGGCGUGCUUAACACAUGCAAGUCGAACGCUGAACUCCGCUUGCGGAGGGAUGAGUGGCGAACGGGUGAGUAACACGUGGGCAACCUGCCCUCAGCUCUGGGAUAACUCCAAGAAAUUGGGGCUAAUACCGGAUAUUUCCGCUGACCGCAUGGUCUGGUGGUGGAAAGAUUUAUCGGCUGGGGAUGGGCCCGCGGCCUAUCAGCUUGUUGGUGGGGUAGNGGCCUACCAAGGCGACGACGGGUAGCCGGCCUGAGAGGGUGACCGGCCACACUGGGACUGAGACACGGCCCAGACUCCUACGGGAGGCAGCAGUGGGGAAUAUUGCGCAAUGGGCGAAAGCCUGACGCAGCGACGCCGCGUGGGGAUGACGGCCU